GCGCCCGUAGCUCAACGGAUAGAGCAUCUGACUACGGAUCAGAAGGUUAGGAGUUCGAAUCUCUUCGGGCGCA
Molecule: transfer RNA, 73 nt
Filed under: Smaragdicoccus niigatensis
Lineage: Bacteria; Bacillati; Actinomycetota; Actinomycetes; Mycobacteriales; Nocardiaceae
Also listed under: 3 other names
Description: tRNA-Arg(acg)
Rfam family: tRNA
About the family: Transfer RNA (tRNA) molecules are approximately 80 nucleotides in length.
Source: RNAcentral